Molecule: ribosomal RNA, 419 nt
Filed under: bacterium
Lineage: Bacteria
Description: partial 16S ribosomal RNA
Rfam family: Bacterial small subunit ribosomal RNA
Source: RNAcentral
UGGGGGAUAUUGCACAAUGGGCGAAAGCCUGAUGCAGCGACGCCGCGUGGGGGAUGAAGGCCUUCGGGUUGUAAACUUCUUUUGCUCUGAACAAGGCGCACCAUGGGGUGUGUUGAGUGUAGGGGUUGAUUAGCGCCGGCUAACUACGUGCCAGCAGCCGCGGUAAUACGUAGGGCGCGAGCGUUGUCCGGAAUUAUUGGGCGUAAAGGGCUUGUAGGUGGCUGGUUGCGUCUGUCGUGAAAGCUCAUGGCUUAACUGUGGGUUUGCGGUGGGUACGGGCUGGCUUGAGUGCAGUAGGGGAGGCUGGAAUUCCUGGUGUAGCGGUGGAAUGCGCAGAUAGCAGGAGGAAUACCGGUGGCGAAGGCGGGUCUCUGGGCUGUUACUGACACUGAGGAGCGAAAGCAUGGGGAGCGAACAGG